RNAcentral lists this ribosomal RNA (1501 nucleotides) under metagenome. RNAcentral's name for it is "bacterial SSU rRNA". It matches the Rfam family "Bacterial small subunit ribosomal RNA". The record is from RNAcentral.
AGAGUUUGAUCAUGGCUCAGAAUUAACGCUGGCGGCGUGCCUAACACAUGCAAGUCGAGCGAGAAAGUCCCUUCGGGGGCAAGUAAAGCGGCAGACGGGUGAGUAACGCGUGGGAAUCUACCCUUGAGUGAAGAAUACCCUCGAGAAAUCGAGGUUAAUACUGCAUACGUCUUUAACGAGAGAAAGGUGGCCUCUUUGCUACCGCUCGGGGAUGAGCCUGCGUACUAUUAGCUAGUUGGUGGGGUAAUGGCCUACCAAGGCGAUGAUGGUUAGCCGGCCUGAGAGGGUGUACGGCCACACUGGAACUUAGACACGGUCCAGACUCCUACGGGAGGCAGCAGUGGGGAAUCUUGCGCAAUGGGCGAAAGCCUGACGCAGCGACGCCGCGUGGAGGAUGAAGGUCUUCGGAUUGUAAACUUCUGUUAAGUGGGAAGAAAGGCCUGGUUCUAAUACAGCCAGGAAAUGACGGUACCACUAGAGAAAGCACCGGCUAACUUCGUGCCAGCAGCCGCGGUAAUACGAAGGGUGCGAGCGUUAUUCGGAAUUAUUGGGCGUAAAGGGCGCGUAGACGGCAUGUUAAGUCAACUGUUUAAUUUCCCGGCCUAACCGGGGUACAGCGGUAGAAACUGGCGUGCUAGAGGGUGGAAGAGAGAAGUGGAAUUCUCGGAGUAGCGGUAAAAUGCGUAGAUCUCGAGAGGAACACCAAUGGCGAAGGCAGCUUCUUGGUCCAUACCUGACGUUGAGGCGCGAAAGCGUGGGGAGCAAACAGGAUUAGAUACCCUGGUAGUCCACGCUGUAAACGAUGAUCACUAGACGUCAGUCUCGUUUUAGAGAUUGGUGUCGUAGCUAACGCGUUAAGUGAUCCGCCUGGGGAGUACGGUCGCAAGAUUAAAACUCAAAGAAAUUGACGGGGGUCCGCACAAGCGGUGGAACAUGUGGUUUAAUUCGACACUACGCGAGGAACCUUACCUAGGCUUGACAUGCUUUUGACCGUUGUGGAAACACAACUUUCUAUGCUUCGGUAUAGACAAUUGCACAGGUGCUGCAUGGCUGUCGUCAGCUCGUGUCGUGAGAUGUUUGGUUAAGUCCUCUAACGAGCGCAACUCCUAUCAUCAGUUGCAACUUCGCAAGAAGGCACUCUGAUGAGACUGCCUGGGAAACCAGGAGGAAGGUGGGAAUGACGUCAAGUCAUCAUGGUCCUUAUGUCUAGGGCUACACACGUGUUACAAUGGCUAGUACAAAGGGUUGCAAGCUCGUAAGAGUAAGCUAAUCCCGUAAAGCUAGUCUAAGUUCGGAUUGAGGUCUGCAACUCGACCUCAUGAAGCUGAAAUCGCUAGUAAUCGCAUAUCAGAACGAUGCGGUGAAUACGUUCACGGGCCUUGUACACCCCGCCCGUCACGCCAUGAAAGCUGUUUGUACCCAAAGUCACUUUAGCUAACCUGUUAAAGGGGGCGAGUGCCUAAGGUAUGAAGAGUGAUUGGGGCGAAGUCGUAACAAGGUA